Molecule: ribosomal RNA, 253 nt
Filed under: uncultured bacterium
Lineage: Bacteria
Description: partial 16S ribosomal RNA
Rfam family: Bacterial small subunit ribosomal RNA
Source: RNAcentral
UACAGAGGUGGCAAGCGUUGUUUGGAAUUACUGGGCGUAAAGGGCGCGUAGGCGGCCAACUAAGUCAUACGUGAAAUCCCUCAGCUUAACUGGGGAACUGCGUGUGAUACUGGAUGGCUUGGAUUUGGGAGAGGGAUGCGGAAUUCCAGGUGUAGCGGUGAAAUGCGUAGAUAUCUGGAGGAACACCGGUGGCGAAGGCGGCAUCCUGGACCAAUAUUGACGCUGAGGAGCGAAAGCCAGGGGAGCAAACAGG